RNAcentral lists this ribosomal RNA (833 nucleotides) under uncultured marine microorganism. RNAcentral's name for it is "bacterial SSU rRNA". It matches the Rfam family "Bacterial small subunit ribosomal RNA", at positions 669 to 1501 of the family's 1533-position model. The record is from RNAcentral.
CCCGGUGUAGCGGUGAAAUGCGUAGAUAUCGGGAAGAACACCAGUGGCGAAGGCGNUCUGCUGGGCCAUCACUGACGCUCAUGGACGAAAGCCAGGGGAGCGAAAGGGAUUAGAUACCCCUGUAGUCCUGGCCGUAAACGAUGAACACUAGGUGUCGGGGGAAUCGACCCCCUCGGUGUCGUAGCCAACGCGUUAAGUGUUCCGCCUGGGGAGUACGCACGCAAGUGUGAAACUCAAAGGAAUUGACGGGGGCCCGCACAAGCGGUGGAGUAUGUGGUUUAAUUCGAUGCAACGCGAAGAACCUUACCAGGGUUUGACAUCCUGCGAAUCUCUUGGAAACAGGAGAGUGCCUUCGGGAACGCAGUGACAGGUGGUGCAUGGCUGUCGUCAGCUCGUGUCGUGAGAUGUUGGGUUAAGUCCCGCAACGAGCGCAACCCACGUCUUUAGUUGCCAGCAUUUAGUUGGGCACUCUAGAGAGACUGCCGGUGAUAAACCGGAGGAAGGUGUGGAUGACGUCAAGUCAUCAUGCCCCUUACAUCCUGGGCUACACACGUACUACAAUGCUACGGACAAAGGGCAGCAAGUUCGCGAGGACAAGCAAAUCCCAUAAACCGUGGCUCAGUUCAGAUCGUAGGCUGCAACUCGCCUACGUGAAGGCGGAAUCGCUAGUAAUCGCAGGUCAGCAUACUGCGGUGAAUACGUUCCCGGGCCUUGUACACACCGCCCGUCACACCAUGGAAGUUGGCCACGCCCGAAGCCGUUACUCCAACCCUUGUGGAGGAGGACGUCGAAGGUGGGGCUGAUGACUGGGGUGAAGUCGUAACAAGGUAACC